This 711-nucleotide ribosomal RNA is filed under the name Atetylenchus cf. graminus AQ07. Its description in RNAcentral is "partial large subunit ribosomal RNA". It matches the Rfam family "Eukaryotic large subunit ribosomal RNA", at positions 354 to 911 of the family's 3401-position model. Lineage: Eukaryota; Metazoa; Nematoda; Chromadorea; Rhabditida; Tylenchidae. The record is from RNAcentral.
UGAGGGAAAGUUGCAAAGCACUUUGAAGAGAGAGUUAAAGAGGACGUGAAACCGAUAAGAUGGAAACGGAUAGAGCUAGCGUAUCUAGCUUGUAUUCAGCUGCUCUCGCCAUGGGUAGCUUGUCUUCCAAUCCAGAUUCUGGUUGGUUGGCUUGUGUCACUUGUGUGUGAGCAGUGCACUUGCAAGUGGAGUGCGCUGAGGCGUAUGGAUUGGCGGUUUGAAGUGCGCUCUGAGGAUACCUUUGUGUAAAACCCAGGCGUACCUAGAGCUGUUCGGUCUGUAUGUAAAGAGCAUGGCUUGACGGGCUGGGAUUCUGCCGAGUGAGUCAUUGGUAACGGUCGCAUGCGACACGUGCCAUUUGCUUGCUCGGUUGGGUUCUGGUUCACUUGCUCACCCUCGGUGUAAAAGCUAGUCAUCUAUCCGACCCGUCUUGAAACACGGACCAAGGAGUUUAGCGUAUACGCGAGUCAUUGAGUGAAAAACUUAAAGGCGUAAUGAAAGUGAAUGCUUCUUCUGAAGCUGAUAUGUGACCCUGUGCACUUCGGUGCCCAGGAGCAGCAUAGCCCCGUCCUAAUCGCUUGCGAUGGGGCGGAGGUAGAGCGUAUUCGCUGAGACCCGAAAGAUGGUGAACUAUUCCUGAGCAGGAUGAAGCCAGUGGAAACUCUGGUGGAAGUCCGAAGCGGUUCUGACGUGCAAAUCGAUCGUCUGACU